RNAcentral lists this ribosomal RNA (468 nucleotides) under uncultured bacterium. RNAcentral's name for it is "partial 16S ribosomal RNA". It matches the Rfam family "Bacterial small subunit ribosomal RNA", at positions 28 to 507 of the family's 1533-position model. The record is from RNAcentral.
GACGAACGCUGGCGGCGUGCUUAACACAUGCAAGUCGAACGGAAAGGCCCUGCUUUUGUGGGGUGCUCGAGUGGCGAACGGGUGAGUAACACGUGAGUAACCUGCCCUUGACUUUGGGAUAACUUCAGGAAACUGGGGCUAAUGCCGGAUAGGAGCUCCUGCUGCAUGGUGGGGGUUGGAAAGUUUCGGCGGUUGGGGAUGGACUCGCGGCUUAUCAGCUUGUUGGUGGGGUAGUGGCUUACCAAGGCUUUGACGGGUAGCCGGCCUGAGAGGGUGACCGGCCACAUUGGGACUGAGAUACGGCCCCGACUCCUACGGGAGGCAGCAGUGGGGAAUAUUGCACAAUGGGCGGAAGCCUGAUGCAGCAACGCCGCGUGCGGGAUGACGGCCUUCGGGUUGUAAACCGCUUUCGCCUGUGACGAAGCGUGAGUGACGGUAAUGGGUAAAGAAGCACCGGCUAACUACGUG